Molecule: small nucleolar RNA, 110 nt
Organism: Papaver somniferum (opium poppy)
Lineage: Eukaryota; Viridiplantae; Streptophyta; Magnoliopsida; Ranunculales; Papaveraceae
Product: small nucleolar RNA Z103
Exons: 1
Source: RefSeq, a predicted model, not a curated record
AUGGAAGCGAUGAUCCUUUCCCCAGCUGAUCGACUAAGAUUAUAAUGUGCAUUUUGUUUAAAUAUCUUUUUCAACAGAAGAGGUUUUCCGAGCUUAGUAUUCUGCUCCAU